AAAUUAAUAUGACGUUGUGAAAUC
This 24-nucleotide non-coding RNA is filed under the name Arabidopsis thaliana (thale cress). Lineage: Eukaryota; Viridiplantae; Streptophyta; Magnoliopsida; Brassicales; Brassicaceae. The record is from RNAcentral.